UGAGCAACCAUGCCAAGUCCUUCCC
RNAcentral lists this non-coding RNA (25 nucleotides) under Rattus norvegicus (Norway rat). Lineage: Eukaryota; Metazoa; Chordata; Mammalia; Rodentia; Muridae. The record is from RNAcentral.